GACGAACGCUGGCGGCGCGCCUAACACAUGCAAGUCGAACGAGCGAGAGAGAGCUUGCUUUCUCGAGCGAGUGGCGAACGGGUGAGUAACGCGUGAGGAACCUGCCUCAAAGAGGGGGACAACAGUUGGAAACGACUGCUAAUACCACAUAAGCCCACGGCUCGGCAUCGAGCAGAGGGAAAAGGAGCAAUCCGCUUUGAGAUGGCCUCGCGUCCGAUUAGCUAGUUGGUGAGGUAACGGCCCACCAAGGCGACGAUCGGUAGCCGGACUGAGAGGUUGAACGGCCACAUUGGGACUGAGACACGGCCCAGACUCCUACGGGAGGCAGCAGUGGGGAAUAUUGCACAAUGGGGGAAACCCUGAUGCAGCGACGCCGCGUGGAGGAAGAAGGUCUUCGGAUUGUAAACUCCUGUUGUUGAGGAAGAUAAUGACGGUACUCAACAAGGAAGUGACGGCUAACUACGUG
RNAcentral lists this ribosomal RNA (466 nucleotides) under uncultured bacterium. RNAcentral describes it as "bacterial SSU rRNA". It matches the Rfam family "Bacterial small subunit ribosomal RNA", at positions 28 to 507 of the family's 1533-position model. The record is from RNAcentral.